AAUAGAUACCCGGUAGUCCACGCCGUAAACGAUGAGUGCUAAGUGUUAGAGGGUUUCCGCCCUUUAGUGCUGAAGUUAACGCAUUAAGCACUCCGCCUGGGGAGUACGGCCGCAAGGCUGAAACUCAAAGGAAUUGACGGGGGCCCGCACAAGCGGUGGAGCAUGUGGUUUAAUUCGAAGCAACGCGAAGAACCUUACCAGGUCUUGACAUCCUCUGACAACCCUAGAGAUAGGGCUUCUCCUUCGGGAGCAGAGUGACAGGUGGUGCAUGGUUGUCGUCAGCUCGUGUCGUGAGAUGUUGGGUUAAGUCCCGCAACGAGCGCAACCCUUGAUCUUAGUUGCCAUCAUUAAGUUGGGCACUCUGAGGUGACUGCCGGUGACAAACCGGAGGAAGGUGGGGAUGACGUCAAAUCAUCAUGCCCCUUAUGACCUGGGCUACACACGUGCUACAAUGGACGGUACAAAGAGCUGCAAGACCGCGAGGUGGAGCUAAUCUCAUAAAACCCGUUCUCAGUUCGGA
RNAcentral lists this ribosomal RNA (520 nucleotides) under uncultured bacterium. RNAcentral describes it as "bacterial SSU rRNA". It matches the Rfam family "Bacterial small subunit ribosomal RNA", at positions 777 to 1297 of the family's 1533-position model. The record is from RNAcentral.